UUCCGGUUGAUCCUGCCGGACCCCACUGCUAUCGAGAUGGGACUAAGGUAUGCUAGUCGAACGACCAGAACUAUGUCUGGAAGUGGCACACUGCUCAGUAACACGUAGCUAACCUACCCUUAGGACGUGGAUACCCCCGAGAAAUUGGGGUUAAUCCGCGAUAGGUGUAAUGUCCUGGAAUGGUAUUACGCCUAAAGGUGUAUCAUACAUGUUUGAUAUACGCCUAAGGAUGGGGCUGCGGCCGAUCAGGCUGUUGGUGAGGUAAUGGCUCACCAAACCUUUGACCGGUACGGGCCAUGAGAGUGGUAGCCCGGAGAUGGACACUGAGACAAGGGUCCAGGCCCUAAGGGGCGCAGCAACCGCGAAACCUCCACAAUGCACUCACGUGCGAUGGGGCUAUCUCGAGUGCCACCUGAUGAAGGUGGCUUUUCCUAGGUCUUCAAAGCCUUGGGAAUAAGAGGGGGGCAAGACUGGUGUCAGCCGCCGCGGUAACACCAGCCCCUCGAGUGGUGGGGAUGAUUAUUUGGCCUAAAGCGUCCGUAGCCGGCCGAGCAAGUCUUCCGUUAAAUCCAGCGUCUCAAGCGUUGGACUGCGGGAGAUACUACACGGCUAGAGAGUGGGAGAGGUCAGCGGUAUUCUGGGGGUAGGGGCGAAAUCCUUUGAUCCCCGGAGGACCACCAGUGGCGAAGGCUGCUGACUAGAACACGUCUGACGGUCAGGGACGAAAGCUGGGGUAGCGAACCGGAUUAGAUACCCGGGUAGUCCCAGCCGUAAACGAUGCAUGCUAGGUGUUGGGUUGGCCACGAGCCACCC
Molecule: ribosomal RNA, 813 nt
Filed under: uncultured archaeon
Lineage: Archaea
Description: bacterial SSU rRNA
Rfam family: Archaeal small subunit ribosomal RNA
Source: RNAcentral